CAUAGGUUAAUGAGGCGAACCGGGGGAACUGAAACAUCUAAGUACCCCGAGGAAAAGAAAUCAACCGAGAUUCCCCCAGUAGCGGCGAGCGAACGGGGAGCAGCCCAGAGCCUGAAUCAGUGUGUGUGUUAGUGGAAGCGUCUGGAAAGGCGCGCGAUACAGGGUGACAGCCCCGUACACAAAAAUGCACAUACUGUGAGCUCGAUGAGUAGGGCGGGACACGUGGUAUCCUGUCUGAAUAUGGGGGGACCAUCCUCCAAGGCUAAAUACUCCUGACUGACCGAUAGUGAACCAGUACCGUGAGGGAAAGGCGAAAAGAACCCCGGCGAGGGGAGUGAAAAAGAACCUGAAACCGUGUACGUACAAGCAGUGGGAGCACGCUUAGGCGUGUGACUGCGUACCUUUUGUAUAAUGGGUCAGCGACUUAUAUUCUGUAGCAAGGUUAACCGAAUAGGGGAGCCGAAGGGAAACCGAGUCUUAACUGGGCGUUAAGUUGCAGGGUAUAGACCCGAAACCCGGUGAUCUAGCCAUGGGCAGGUUGAAGGUUGGGUAACACUAACUGGAGGACCGAACCGACUAAUGUUGAAAAAUUAGCGGAUGACUUGUGGCUGGGGGUGAAAGGCCAAUCAAACCGGGAGAUAGCUGGUUCUCCCCGAAAGCUAUUUAGGUAGCGCCUCGUGAAUUCAUCUCCGGGGGUAGAGCACUGUUUCGGCAAGGGGGUCAUCCCGACUUACCAACCCGAUGCAAACUGCGAAUACCGGAGAAUGUUAUCACGGGAGACACACGGCGGGUGCUAACGUCCGUCGUGAAGAGGGAAACAACCCAGACCGCCAGCUAAGGUCCCAAAGUCAUGGUUAAGUGGGAAACGAUGUGGGAAGGCCCAGACAGCCAGGAUGUUGGCUUAGAAGCAGCCAUCAUUUAAAGAAAGCGUAAUAGCUCACUGGUCGAGUCGGCCUGCGCGGAAGAUGUAACGGGGCUAAACCAUGCACCGAAGCUGCGGCAGCGACGCUGAUGCGUUGUUGGGUAGGGGAGCGUUCUGUAAGCCUGUGAAGGUGUGCUGUGAGGCAUGCUGGAGGUAUCAGAAGUGCGAAUGCUGACAUAAGUAACGAUAAAGCGGGUGAAAAGCCCGCUCGCCGGAAGACCAAGGGUUCCUGUCCAACGUUAAUCGGG
This 1170-nucleotide ribosomal RNA is filed under the name Escherichia coli. RNAcentral describes it as "partial 23S ribosomal RNA". It matches the Rfam family "Bacterial large subunit ribosomal RNA", at positions 165 to 1373 of the family's 2925-position model. The record is from RNAcentral. Lineage: Bacteria; Pseudomonadati; Pseudomonadota; Gammaproteobacteria; Enterobacterales; Enterobacteriaceae.